ACCACCUACCACGAGUCCAAGCUGGCGGCUAAGGAGUACCAGGCCGCCAAGGCCCGUCUCUUCACCGCCUUCAUCAAGGCUGGGCUGGGCGCCUGGGUGGAGAAGCCCACGGAGCAGGACCAGUUCUCCCUCACGCCCUGACCCGUGGGCCCAGCUCAGGGUGCAGGGCUGUCGGCCCCACACCAUCCCGAACCUCCCGUCUGGACUGGGGCAGGCUCACAGCCCGGUAGGGCCCAGGGACACUGUGUCCUGCACCAUCCCCGAACCUCCCGUCUGGACUCGGGCAGGCACACAGCCUGGUGAGGCAUGGGCCAGGGACCACUGGCGUCACGCACCCGACCAGGGCAGGUGUGGGGCUGUGGGGUGCCGGGCAUCUCACGUCUGCACUGGGACAGGUGCCACUCAUGUCCCCUCCUGAGUCAUCCAGUGACUGCUUCCAAUUCCAGUUUACGUUAGAGAUCGAGUUCUACUGAGUAGGGCUUCCUGAGUGUAGGAACGUAGACACGGCUGCGUGUGAGAUCCUUGAAUAAAUAAUUUAUUCAGAGCUAGGAAUGUGGUUUAUAAAACAAGAAGUAAAUAUGUCAGGUCACUUUGAUGCCACAUUAUUUUAAUUGCAAAACGUGGGGGUGGAGGGGGAGGGUGGGGCCUGGAGUGGAUCCCCGAGGGGCACGCAGGCCUCCCUGGUGGGGCCUCGGUGCCCAGUCCUGCAGGAUGUGACCCCGGCCGGCUCCUCCGCUGCCUCUGGAAGCUUCCGUACUCCUGGGUGGGAUCAUGGGAGCCUUCCUCAGUUCACUCUGGAUCAUCAAGAUGAAGCAUGUCCAGCGUCCUUUGCUGGCUGAUCAUGUGGGUCUUGGAGCCUUUGUGGACGGAGGGGACCUUGGGCGGCUGUGCGAGAGGAGCCUGGGCCCCACGCUCCCGGCCAGGCCCUCGCAGGGAGGGAGCCGCGUGUCCAGGUGGACUUGGCCCUCGGCACUUCAGUCCCCCCUCCGGCCUCAUCAGAGACACUCCUGCAGCUGAGCUGGCAGCCCUGGGGCUGGUGGGCACCAGAGGCUGAGGUCGGGCAGCGCAGGGGCGAGCGCUGCCGGUCCCCGGGUGCUGCGCCGGGAGCCUCUGGGCAGGAGCAGCCAGGGCCCACCUGGACCUGCACUCGGAGGCUGCACAGGUGCCUUGGAGCUCCAGGACUAGAGGGCAGGGGCCUGUCUGCUCCAGAGGGGCACCAAGGGGCCUUGGGGCCACGGCAGUGGCAGGCCCAGACCCGCAAUGCCACGCCCAGGCAUGAGGCCUGAGUGGCACCGGGCUGUCCACCUUGCUGUUGGUGCCCUGUGAGUAGGGAGCCAGGGAGCAGGGCGUGGCUGCGGUGACCAGGCUGACAGCUGAGUGCGCUGCCUGGGGACACGGGCCUGUCUGCAGGGCUCACUGCCCACGGCUCCGGUCCCCUGGGCUCGUUCCGCAUGGCGGGAGGGACACAGCCAGGUGCAGUGGGCACGGACAGGCCCACCCCAGCCCCCGCUGCUGGUCUCGGACCCGCUGCCCUGCUAGGCAGUGCUGGGUCCCCCUUGCCCCCGCAGGAGCCGGGGUCUGGGGGCUGUGUCCUGGGGCAGGCUCCUGUGCACUCCAGGGAGCACGGCCGUCCCCUCGUCUGCCAGAGGCAUCGUCCUCGGGGGGACUGGAGGUGAACUCAGUCUUUUGCGGUGGCCUUCUGGCCUUGGAGUCCAGCAGGAACACGUCCCACACGCAGUCACACACCGUGGGGCUGGCUUCACGCUGCCCUCCGGGGGCACUCCUGCCAUGUUGGCCCUGGCCGUCCAGCCCUUGAUCUGGACCUGCAGGCUCACAGGAUCUGACACAAUCAGGGACUUGAUUUUUUGAGAAAAAAAAUCUUUGAGUUCUGACAUUUUGACAGUGGGGGGCGGGGUCUCUUCUGCUUGUGAGGGACCCCUGAAGUGCUGUGCCACAGACACUGUCCCCCGGGAUGCUCAGGGACGGCUUUGCCAGGGCAGCUGGCUCAGCAGUGGGAGGGCGUGUGGGAGUCUCAGGUGGGCCACAUGUUCUGUGUGGAUGGCCGCAGUGGUGGGGCAGGGCUGGCCGUUGGCACCCGUGCCGUGGCCCCAGGCAGUACAGUCUCCAGCCAGGGAUGCCAAAGAAUCGCAGCUCUGAUUCAGGUCUUGAUCGUCCAUCACCCUUUCCUGUCUUGUGACCACACAGUGGCUUCAUCUCAGUGUGUGAGUGGCGGCCCCAGCCUGGGUCCCCGGGGCGUCACACCUGCCAGAGGUCGCUGCAGCCGUGAGGCCGUCCCCUGCAGCCCCGCGGGAGCAGCUCCGGGUGCGGGUGCUGGAGAGCGGCUGCCGGUGGGCUGUGCACGGGUGUGGGCAGUGGUCUCCACUCCUGAGGCACGCACCAGAAACGCCAGCAGGAGAAGCAAAGUGAGGUCACUUUCUUGUCCCCAGGUCCAAUCCCUCUGUAUCAGCCCCAGAGUCCGCGUGGCCAGGGCAAAGGACCUGGGUUUGGGGUGCACCUGCAUCUCCCCUGGUGCCCAGGCCCGCGGAGGUGGAGGCUCUGCUCGAGGCUGGCGGGCUGCUUGGCCGGUCCACGCUGGCGCUCUGGGGUUCCUGUGAUGCCGGGAAGUGAGGCGGUGGCCUCUGGCCUGCCAGGCGGGCGGGUCUCGGUGGCGUGGGCCCAGCUGCUGGACGUGAGGUGUGGUGGUGAGGUGGCCCCUGGCCCCGCAGGCACCUGCUCCGCUGCUUGCUGUUGGAGGAGGGGCGCCGCGGGCGUGGUCCCCACAAGCCGGUGGCUGAGGCUCAGACGCCAUGGGAGUGUGCUCCAGCAGGAGCUGUUGCCAGGGUGUGGCCCUCGUGUCCUCUGUGUGUGUCCUGUGUAUGCCACACGUCCCCUGCAUGAGCUUCCUCCCUCUGAGGCCGGCCGAGCUGAGCAUGAGACGCUGUCCCACAGACAGAGGGUCUGAGAUGUUCUCAAUAAAAAUGAGCUGUUUCCGCAGACGGUGUGCUGGACU
Molecule: long non-coding RNA, 3010 nt
Filed under: Marmota monax (woodchuck)
Lineage: Eukaryota; Metazoa; Chordata; Mammalia; Rodentia; Sciuridae
Source: RNAcentral